RNAcentral lists this ribosomal RNA (910 nucleotides) under Macaca siberu (Siberut macaque). Its description in RNAcentral is "partial 16S ribosomal RNA". The stretch from base 147 to 910 matches the Rfam family "Bacterial large subunit ribosomal RNA", at positions 566 to 1898 of the family's 2925-position model. Lineage: Eukaryota; Metazoa; Chordata; Mammalia; Primates; Cercopithecidae. The record is from RNAcentral.
GCCAACACUAGCCCCAAACAUAACCAACACUAAUAACAAACCAACACACACUAAACCAUUUACCUAUGCAAAGUAUAGGCGAUAGAAAUUUUAAUCUGGCGCUAUAGACAUAGUACCGCAAGGGAAAGAUAGAAAACCACCCAAGCACAAAACAGCAAGGACUAGCCCCUGUACCUUUCGCAUAAUGGAUUAGCUAGAAACAAUUUUACGAAGAGAACUAUAAGCCAAAUCCCCCGAAACCAGACGAGCUACCCAAAAACAGCUAAAAGAGCGCACCCAUCUAUGUGGCAAAAUAGUGGGAAGAUUUUUGGGUAGAGGUGACAAGCCUACCGAGCCUGGUGAUAGCUGGUUAUCCAAGACAGAAUCUUAGUUCAACCUUAAGCUUACCUACAGAACCUCCUAAUCCCCCUGUAAGCUUAAUUGCUAGUCUAAAGAGGGACAGCUCUUCAGACACUAGGAAAAAACCUUAUAGAGAGAGUAAAACCCAUCAACUGCCAUAGUCGGCUUAAAAGCAGCCAUCAAUUAAGAAAGCGUUCAAGCUCAACAUUAACAAUCUCAAAAAUACCAAACACAUAACUGAACUCCUCACAUCACAUUGGAUUAAUCUAUCACCAUAUAGAAGCAAUAAUGCUAAUAUAAGUAACAUGAAUACUUUCUCCACUGCAUAAGCCUAAAUCGGACCGAAAGCCUCACCGACACUUAACAGCCAGGCACAGCAAACACAAACAAGCCCAUGCUACCUUCACUGUUAACCCAACACUGGCAUGCCUCAAGGAAAGGUUAAAAAAAGUAAAAGGAACUCGGCAAACUCAAACCCCGCCUGUUUACCAAAAACAUCACCUCUAGCAUUACUAGUAUUAGAGGCACUGCCUGCCCGGUGACACACGUUUAACGGCCGCGGUACCCUGAC